UUAAAUAUUUCUUGUUUUAUUUGUAUGCUGCCGGCUGCCGGUACUAUAUUUUGUACCUACGUUUAUUUUCUUAUUUAUAGAUAGUUCAGGCUUAGUUUCCAUUUUCUGCAAAUGAUUUAUAAUUAAGCUAAGUUCGAGUGCUAGGUUGCAUGUAUGCAUAAGCGAGUGCGAUUGAGUGAAGGGAAAGAUUUGCUUUGCGAUUCCGGCAAUCGGCGCGGGAUCGCUGAAUUGACUGAGGGGAUUGAACCGCCGGAGCUCGUGGUCUGAGCUCGUGGUGUCAAAUUGCCCAUCAGAAGGCCGGCGGAGGCGGAAUUGAAGUGGAAAGGUGGCGCGGCGGAGCUAGGGUUCUGCAGUGUUUGAUUCGAAUUCUGGUAUCAAAUCGACGCUGGAUCGAGAAAUUGAUUGAGGGGUUUUGUUGACAGAAUCGAGAGGAGUAUGGCCGUGGCUCCGAUUCAGACUACGAUAGCCGGAGUUGCAAUGUCGCCGGCGACGGGUGGGCAUCAAUUGUAGCGGUGACUUCAAGUACAUCGUCUUCAAUAUUUUUCCCACGAUGCCAAACGUCGAUACAACGAAGCACGUUCAGUUAAGGAAUCCAUACCUAUCAUCAUCGUAUGAGCUUUAGGCGUUUGCUCAUAAUUUUACUGUUACUGUCGCAAUUUGUUCAUCCAUCCUUCUACCAUUGCCUUGAGGCGUUGAUCUUGUAGCUAGCAACUCAUAACCAGUUAUUGUUUUUUUGACAGAGUGAUAUUUUAGAAGACAAGGGUGAUAUUGAAGAUUUUAUUAAAAAAAAAAAAAGAAAAACAAAUAUCGCUUGUGUGGGGCUCAAGCCCCUUCCACGCCACUUCAUAACUUUAAUUUUGCUUUGAUGUUCAUUGGUUCAUCCUUUUUUUGUCUCACAUCUCCAA
Long non-coding RNA from Salvia hispanica, 905 nucleotides. RefSeq lists it as uncharacterized. The record is from RefSeq and is a predicted model, not a curated record. NCBI's taxonomy places the organism in Eukaryota, Viridiplantae, Streptophyta, Magnoliopsida, Lamiales, Lamiaceae.